CACAGAACCUCGCCCCAGACCUUAGUUCCCGAUAAAGCCUUUGACUGCUAAAAUUUUUUUAGCCUCUGACUCUUAUCUUUACCCUGCCUUACGCCUGACCCUAACAUUUGGUGCCGAAACCCGGGGGAGGUAGUAGCUCGCCUCCCUUGUCUGAGCUCCCUCCUCGCCAAGCCAGCCGCCAACCACCCUACUCCCAAGCGCCUACAGGAGCCACAGGAAUAUUCAGAAACACAUUGGCUUUUGUGGAUGUCAUAUACAACAUGAAGAACUGGGACAAGGCAACUUGUAAUUUGAGCACUAACACUCUAUGAGGCUGUGAAGAAGCAAGCUGCCAUGAAGUAGAAACUCAUGCUGCAGGGAACUGCUAGUAGUCUCUAGAAGAAAAGAGUGCAGCCUCAGUCCUAGACUGCAAGGAAAUGAAUGGCCAAUAACCCGAGAAAGCCUGAAAAUAAGUUCUAACCCAGUUGAGCCUCUGAUGAGACUGAGACCCAACCAACACCUGGACUUCAGCCUGGUGAAAUCCUGAAGCACGGA
Prionailurus viverrinus (fishing cat) is the source of this 534-nucleotide long non-coding RNA. RefSeq lists it as uncharacterized. The record is from RefSeq and is a predicted model, not a curated record. The transcript is spliced from 3 exons. Lineage: Eukaryota; Metazoa; Chordata; Mammalia; Carnivora; Felidae.